This 140-nucleotide ribosomal RNA is filed under the name uncultured Epicoccum. Its description in RNAcentral is "5.8S ribosomal RNA". The stretch from base 91 to 140 matches the Rfam family "5.8S ribosomal RNA", at positions 1 to 50 of the family's 154-position model. The record is from RNAcentral. Lineage: Eukaryota; Fungi; Ascomycota; Dothideomycetes; Pleosporales; Leptosphaeriaceae.
CUUCGUUUCCUCGGCGGGUCCGCCCGCCGAUUGGACAACAUUCAAACCCUUUGCAGUUGCAAUCAGCGUCUGAAAAAACAUAAUAGUUACAACUUUCAACAACGGAUCUCUUGGUUCUGGCAUCGAUGAAGAACGCAGCG